Molecule: long non-coding RNA, 306 nt
Organism: Centruroides sculpturatus (bark scorpion)
Lineage: Eukaryota; Metazoa; Arthropoda; Arachnida; Scorpiones; Buthidae
Exons: 3
Source: RefSeq, a predicted model, not a curated record
UACCGCAGCGCCGAAAAGAAUAAGCGCCAUCUGUGUUAACUUUGGUUAGACUAAAUUUGUUUUGUCAUUGUGUAAUUUUACGUAUUGUUCCAAAUAACUUGAAAAUGUCUGAUUAUUUGGGUAAAGAUAUGAGAAAAACUAAAAAAGAAGACAAAGACGAAGAAAAAGAAGAGAAUAUUAAAGCAUUGGAUGAAGCAGACAUUGCCCUGCUUAAAACUUAUGGUGUUGGGCAGUACAGCAAAGCAAUAAAACAAGCAGAUGAUGACAUUCAAUCAAUUUUAAAGAAAGUAAAUGAAUUAACUGGUA